RNAcentral lists this transfer RNA (551 nucleotides) under uncultured cyanobacterium. Its description in RNAcentral is "16S-23S ribosomal RNA intergenic spacer". The stretch from base 210 to 282 matches the Rfam family "tRNA". The record is from RNAcentral. Lineage: Bacteria; Bacillati; Cyanobacteriota.
CAGGGAGACAACAAAAUGUAAAUAUUAAUUUUGUCACCUUAGGUCGAUCGGUAUCUCACAUUCUUAAUUUUUAAGAAUUUUAGUUUCUAAGUUUUUUCUAGGUCACACCCAUCACUUUUUCCUGGGCCAUUAGCUCAGGUGGUUAGAGCGCACCCCUGAUAAGGGUGAGGUCCCUGGUUCAAGUCCAGGAUGGCCCAUAUCUCUAUGUUGGGGGUAUAGCUCAGUUGGUAGAGCGCCUGCUUUGCAAGCAGGAUGUCAGCGGUUCGAGUCCGCUUACCUCCACUGAUUACCACCUCUUGCAUAUAUUUAAAGAUGGAAAAUGUUUUGAGUUGUGUCCUAAUUUACUCUGAGCGAAUCUAGCCUCCUAUUUUAUUCAAUAAAUUAAGAUGCUGGACUCAUUGAAUCUUUAUUCAUUGUUUUCAGAGAACCUUGACAACUGCAUAGAUUAUUUUUGAAGACAAUAAGCAUCUUUUAAGGUGCAGAUUUAUUAUUUGUGCGAACGCAUUAAAUAACAAUUCUAUUAAGCUGAUGCUUCAAUUAUUGAAGUUAUU